CCUACGGGCGGCUGCAGUGGGGAAUAUUGCACAAUGGGCGCAAGCCUGAUGCAGCCAUGCCGCGUGUGUGAAGAAGGCCUUCGGGUUGUAAAGCACUUUCAGCGGGGAGGAAGGCGGUGAGGUUAAUAACCUCAUCGAUUGACGUUACCCGCAGGAGAAGCACCGGCUAACUCCGUGCCAGCAGCCGCGGUAAUACGGAGGGUGCAAGCGUUAAUCGGAAUUACUGGGCGUAAAGCGCACGCAGGCGGUCUGUCAAGUCGGAUGUGAAAUCCCCGGGCUCAACCUGGGAACUGCAUUCGAAACUGGCAGGCUGGAGUCUUGUAGAGGGGGGUAGAAUUCCAGGUGUAGCGGUGAAAUGCGUAGAGAUCUGGAGGAAUACCGGUGGCGAAGGCGGCCCCCUGGACAAAGACUGACGCUCAGGUGCGAAAGCGUGGGGAGCAAACAGGAUUAGAUACCCCUGUAGUC
RNAcentral lists this ribosomal RNA (465 nucleotides) under uncultured Klebsiella sp. RNAcentral's name for it is "bacterial SSU rRNA". It matches the Rfam family "Bacterial small subunit ribosomal RNA", at positions 338 to 795 of the family's 1533-position model. The record is from RNAcentral. Lineage: Bacteria; Pseudomonadati; Pseudomonadota; Gammaproteobacteria; Enterobacterales; Enterobacteriaceae.